GAGUUUGAUCGUGGCUCAGAAUCAACGCUGGCGGCGCGCUUAACACAUGCAAGUCGAACGAGAAAGGGAGCAAUCCUGAGUAAAGUGGCGCACUGGUGAGUAACACGUGGAUAUCUACCUCCUGGUGGGGAAUAACCUGGGGAAACCUGGGCUAAUACCGCAUAAGUUCGAGAGAAGAAAGGCGCAAGUCGCCGGGAGAGGAGUCCGCGGUCGAUUAGGUAGUUGGCAGGGUAAAGGCCUACCAAGCCGAAGAUCGAUAGCCGGCCUGAGAGGGCACACGGCCACACUGGCACUGAAACACGGGCCAGACUCCUACGGGAGGCAGCAGUGGGGAAUCUUGCACAAUGGGGGAAACCCUGAUGCAGCGACGCCGCGUGAGCGAUGAAGCCCUUCGGGGUGUAAAGCUCUUUCGGCAGGAACGAUAAUGACGGUACCUGCAGAAGAAGCUGCGGCUAACUACGUGCCAGCCGCCGCAGUAAC
RNAcentral lists this ribosomal RNA (480 nucleotides) under uncultured Acidobacteriota bacterium. Its description in RNAcentral is "bacterial SSU rRNA". It matches the Rfam family "Bacterial small subunit ribosomal RNA", at positions 9 to 524 of the family's 1533-position model. The record is from RNAcentral. Lineage: Bacteria; Pseudomonadati; Acidobacteriota.